GCUAUAAUAUACAAGCUGCCAAAGACAGCAGGAGAUAGUUUAUCGUAACAGGGUUCGCCCUUCCUGCCGAGGUUCCGCACAAAUGGUAACAUUUCUGUGUCCUCACGUCUUUGGCGUGAGGACAUUUUAUUUUCAGAG
Regulatory RNA element from Firmicutes bacterium CAG:124, 138 nucleotides. It matches the Rfam family "Ribosomal protein L10 leader". Rfam says of the family: This family is a putative r-protein leader autoregulatory structure found in B. subtilis and other low-GC Gram-positive bacteria. It is located in the 5' untranslated regions of mRNAs encoding ribosomal proteins L10 and L12 (rplJ-rplL). NCBI's taxonomy places the organism in Bacteria, Bacillati, Bacillota. The record is from Rfam.